RNAcentral lists this transfer RNA (110 nucleotides) under Promethearchaeota archaeon. RNAcentral's name for it is "Candidatus Lokiarchaeota archaeon (microbial mat metagenome) tRNA-Glu". It matches the Rfam family "tRNA". Rfam says of the family: Transfer RNA (tRNA) molecules are approximately 80 nucleotides in length. Their secondary structure includes four short double-helical elements and three loops (D, anti-codon, and T loops). Lineage: Archaea; Promethearchaeati; Promethearchaeota. The record is from RNAcentral.
GCUCCCGUAGUGUAGACCGGCCAAUCUAUUCCUAUUUAAAAUGAUAGGAGUAAGGUUAGGCAUACGGGGCUUUCACCCCCGCGACCCGGGUUCGAAUCCCGGCGGGAGCA